Molecule: non-coding RNA, 125 nt
Organism: Triticum urartu
Lineage: Eukaryota; Viridiplantae; Streptophyta; Magnoliopsida; Poales; Poaceae
Source: Rfam
CAUAUACUCCCUUUGUCCGGAAAUACUUGUCGGAGAAAUAGAUGUACAUAGACAUAUUUCAAUUCUAGACACAUCCACUUUUAUCCAUUUCUUUGACAAGUAUUUUCGGACGGAGGGGGUAAUUG